Molecule: ribosomal RNA, 509 nt
Filed under: uncultured bacterium
Lineage: Bacteria
Description: bacterial SSU rRNA
Rfam family: Bacterial small subunit ribosomal RNA
Source: RNAcentral
GAUGAACGCUAGCGACAGGCUUAACACAUGCAAGUCGAGGGGCAGCAGGGAGUAGCAAUACUCCGCUGGCGACCGGCGCACGGGUGCGUAACGCGUAUGCAACCUACCUAUUAGAGUGGAAUAACCCGGCGAAAGUCGGACUAAUACCGCAUAAAGCAGGGGCUCCGCAUGGAGAUAUUUGCUAAAGGAGUGAUCCGCUAAUAGAUGGGCAUGCGUUCCAUUAGAUAGUUGGUGAGGUAACGGCUCACCAAGUCUUCGAUGGAUAGGGGUUCUGAGAGGAAGGUCCCCCACACUGGAACUGAGACACGGUCCAGACUCCUACGGGAGGCAGCAGUGAGGAAUAUUGGUCAAUGGGCGAGAGCCUGAACCAGCCAAGUCGCGUGAAGGAUGACUGCCCUAUGGGUUGUAAACUUCUUUUAUGAGGGAAUAACGGGUUGUACGUGUACGACAGAGGAAUGUACCUUAUGAAUAAGCAUCGGCUAACUCCGUGCCAGCAGCCGCAGUAAAAC